Molecule: long non-coding RNA, 220 nt
Organism: Mastomys coucha (southern multimammate mouse)
Lineage: Eukaryota; Metazoa; Chordata; Mammalia; Rodentia; Muridae
Exons: 2
Source: RefSeq, a predicted model, not a curated record
GCUGGGGCAAAGCUGGGGCAAGGGGCAGAAUGACUACUCUACAGGAUCACCAAAACUUUUUGAAAUGACAGGAAGGUUUUGCAUACUGACUGGGAUCAGGAAACUUCAGAAGGCCAGUCACCCAGACGGAAUCUUGGAGCUUAUCCUAGAAGCCUCACUCUCCCUAAUGGCCAACUGGUUGCUAAGCCCUAUUCAUUCUACUCCUUACUAUAUUUUUAUA